CCUACGGGUGGCAGCAGUGAGGAAUAUUGGUCAAUGGACGGGAGCCUGAACCAGCCAAGUAGCGUGAAGGAUGACUGGCCUAUGGGUUGUAAACUUCUUUUAUCUGGGAAUAACGUGUUCCACGUGUGGGAUUUUGUAUGUACCAUAUGAAUAAGGAUCGGCUAACUCCGUGCCAGCAGCCGCGGUAAUACGGAGGGUCCGAGCGUUAUCCGGAUUUAUUGGGUUUAAAGGGAGCGUAGGUGGAUGGUUAAGUCAGUUGUGAAAGUUUGCGGCUCAACCGUAAAAUUGCAGUUGAAACUGGCAGUCUUGAGUACAGUAGAGGUGGGCGGAAUGCGUGGUGUAGCGGUGAAAUGCUUAGAUAUCACGAAGAACUCCGAUUGCGAAGGCAGCUCACUGGAGUGCAACUGACACUGAUGCUCGAAAGUGUGGGUAUCAAACAGGAUUAGAUACCCGAGUAGUC
RNAcentral lists this ribosomal RNA (460 nucleotides) under uncultured bacterium. RNAcentral describes it as "partial 16S ribosomal RNA". It matches the Rfam family "Bacterial small subunit ribosomal RNA", at positions 338 to 795 of the family's 1533-position model. The record is from RNAcentral.